AUAAAAAUGUUAUAAUAUAUCUUGGACAAGUUAAGUUGAUGGUGGCUAUCUGAGUAUAAGAGGGUGGUGCCUAUGAUGGCAUUACUUAAAUCUUUAGAAAGGGACGCCUAUUGUGAUUUCUAUUGUAGACGCAUUAAGCCUUAUGAUAGGUUUCGGUACAUUUAUCGUUACACACAUUGAGGUAAU
Molecule: small RNA, 186 nt
Filed under: Staphylococcus sp. 8AQ
Lineage: Bacteria; Bacillati; Bacillota; Bacilli; Caryophanales; Staphylococcaceae
Description: rli28
Rfam family: Listeria sRNA rli28
Source: RNAcentral